ACUAGUGGGAGCUGAGUAAUCUUCUGGCCUUGGCAUUAUACAUGAAGAACCAAAGAGAAGGGUUCUAAAAGUUAAUGGUUAACUCUUUUUUCUUGACUGCUCAUAUGAAGAUUCUAAGCUAUGAUCGGCUCUAGAUAUCUGCUAGCAAGUUCCAAUUCAGGACCAUAUUCUGGACAGUAUGACAGAAGGCAUGAUAACCCUUGAGGACAAUUAGCAACAUGAAAAUAUCUUCUUGAGGUUGUUAAGAGAGAAGUAAGAGACACCGACAAU
Molecule: long non-coding RNA, 270 nt
Organism: Lutra lutra (Eurasian river otter)
Lineage: Eukaryota; Metazoa; Chordata; Mammalia; Carnivora; Mustelidae
Exons: 3
Source: RefSeq, a predicted model, not a curated record